This 450-nucleotide ribosomal RNA is filed under the name uncultured bacterium. Its description in RNAcentral is "partial 16S ribosomal RNA". It matches the Rfam family "Bacterial small subunit ribosomal RNA", at positions 354 to 796 of the family's 1533-position model. The record is from RNAcentral.
GUGGGGAAUUUUGGACAAUGGGCGCAAGCCUGAUCCAGCAAUGCCGCGUGCAGGAAGAAGGCCUUCGGGUUGUAAACUGCUUUUGUACGGAACGAAACGGUCCGGGUUAAUACCCUGGGCUAAUGACGGUACCGUAAGAAUAAGCACCGGCUAACUACGUGCCAGCAGCCGCGGUAAUACGUAGGGUGCAAGCGUUAAUCGGAAUUACUGGGCGUAAAGCGUGCGCAGGCGGUUUUGUAAGACAGGCGUGAAAUCCCCGGGCUCAACCUGGGAAUUGCGCUUGUGACUGCAAGGCUGGAGUGCGGCAGAGGGGGAUGGAAUUCCGCGUGUAGCAGUGAAAUGCGUAGAUAUGCGGAGGAACACCGAUGGCGAAGGCAAUCCCCUGGGCCUGUACUGACGCUCAUGCACGAAAGCGUGGGGAGCAAACAGGAUUAGAUACCCUAGUAGUCC